This 253-nucleotide ribosomal RNA is filed under the name uncultured bacterium. RNAcentral describes it as "partial 16S ribosomal RNA". It matches the Rfam family "Bacterial small subunit ribosomal RNA", at positions 524 to 776 of the family's 1533-position model. The record is from RNAcentral.
UACGUAGGGGGCUAGCGUUGUCCGGAUUUAUUGGGCGUAAAGAGCGUGUAGGCGGCCAAGUAGGUCCGGUGUGAAAACUCGAGGCUUAACCUUGGGCGUGCGAUGGAUACUGCCGGGCUAGAGGAUGGUAGAGGCGAGUGGAAUUCCUGGUGUAGCGGUGAAAUGCGCAGAUAUCAGGAGGAACACCAAUUGCGAAGGCAGCUCGCUGGGACGUAACUGACGCUGAGACGCGAAAGCGUGGGGAGCAAACAGG